RNAcentral lists this ribosomal RNA (260 nucleotides) under uncultured bacterium. Its description in RNAcentral is "partial 16S ribosomal RNA". It matches the Rfam family "Bacterial small subunit ribosomal RNA", at positions 333 to 607 of the family's 1533-position model. The record is from RNAcentral.
UAAAGCCUACGGGGGGCAGCAGUGGGGAAUAUUGGGCAAUGGGCGCAAGCCUGACCCAGCAACGCCGCGUGAAGGAAGAAGGCUUUCGGGUUGUAAACUUCUUUUCUCAGGGACGAAGAAAGUGACGGUACCUGAGGAAUAAGCCACGGCUAACUACGUGCCAGCAGCCGCGGUAAUACGUAGGUGGCAAGCGUUAUCCGGAUUUACUGGGUGUAAAGGGCGUGUAGGCGGGACUGCAAGUCAGAUGGGAAAACCACGGG